This 243-nucleotide ribosomal RNA is filed under the name uncultured bacterium. RNAcentral's name for it is "partial 16S ribosomal RNA". It matches the Rfam family "Bacterial small subunit ribosomal RNA", at positions 62 to 334 of the family's 1533-position model. The record is from RNAcentral.
UCGAACGGAUCCUUCGGGAUUAGUGGCGGACGGGUGAGUAACACGUGGGAACGUGCCCUUUGGUUCGGAACAACUCAGGGAAACUUGAGCUAAUACCGGAUGUGCCCUUCGGGGAAAGAUUUAUCGCCAUUGGAGCGGCCCGCGUCUGAUUAGCUAGUUGGUGGGGUAAAGGCCCACCAAGGCGACGAUCAGUAGCUGGUCUGAGAGGAUGAUCAGCCACAUUGGGACUGAGACACGGCCCAA